RNAcentral lists this ribosomal RNA (253 nucleotides) under uncultured bacterium. RNAcentral describes it as "partial 16S ribosomal RNA". It matches the Rfam family "Bacterial small subunit ribosomal RNA", at positions 524 to 776 of the family's 1533-position model. The record is from RNAcentral.
UACGUAGGGGGCAAGCGUUGUCCGGAUUUAUUGGGCGUAAAGAGCGUGUAGGCGGCCAUGUAGGUCCGUUGUGAAAACUCGAGGCUCAACCUCGAGACGCCGGUGGAAACCAUCUAGCUAGAGUCCGGAAGAGGAGAGUGGAAUUCCUGGUGUAGCGGUGAAAUGCGCAGAUAUCAGGAAGAACACCCGUGGCGAAGGCGGCUCUCUGGGACGGUACUGACGCUGAGACGCGAAAGCGUGGGGAGCGAACAGG